UACGUAGGUGGCAAGCGUUAUCCGGAAUUAUUGGGCGUAAAGCGCGCGCAGGUGGUUUCUUAAGUCUGAUGUGAAAGCCCACGGCUCAACCGUGGAGGGUCAUUGGAAACUGGGGGACUUGAGUGCAGAAGAGGAAAGCGGAAUUCCACGUGUAGCGGUGAAAUGCGUAGAGAUGUGGAGGAACACCAGUGGCGAAGGCGGCUUUCUGGUCUGUAACUGACGCUGAGGCGCGAAAGCGUGGGGAGCAAACAGG
RNAcentral lists this ribosomal RNA (253 nucleotides) under uncultured bacterium. RNAcentral's name for it is "partial 16S ribosomal RNA". It matches the Rfam family "Bacterial small subunit ribosomal RNA", at positions 524 to 776 of the family's 1533-position model. The record is from RNAcentral.